This 379-nucleotide non-coding RNA is filed under the name Cryptosporidium parvum. The record is from RNAcentral. Lineage: Eukaryota; Apicomplexa; Conoidasida; Eucoccidiorida; Cryptosporidiidae.
GAAUAUCAUUCUUUCUUUGAUCUAUUCCAUCUAAUGUUGAUGCCAUAAUCUUCUGCUUUCUACAUAAAGUUCCCCACAUCUUAUCAUCCAAAGUUUCCUCAGCAAUAAGAUAAUGUAUAUUAAUGCAUGAAUAUUGAGUACCUAUUCUAUGACAUCUAUCUUCAGCCUGUAACAUUGUACCUGGUACCCAAUAUAAUUCAGCAAAUAUUACAGUACCGGCACUUGUCAAAUUCAAACCUUGGCCACAAGCUGUAAUUGAAAGCAAAGCAACUUUACAAUUUUCAUUAUUUUGAAAUUCCUUCACAUACUCUUCCCUCUUAUUUCCUGGAGUUUUACCAUCUAUUCUAAUAAAUAAAAAUGGCCCGCCUGAAUUGCAUGC